GAUGAACGCUGGCGGCGUGCCUAAUACACGCAAGUCGAGCGAACUUCUUAAGAGCUUGCUCUUAAGAAGUUAGCGGCGGACGGGUGAGUAACACGUAGGUAACCUGCCUAUAAGACUGGGAUAACUCCGGGAAACCGGGGCUAAUACCGGAUAACAUUUUGCACCGCAUGGUGCGAAAUUGAAAGGCGGCUUCGGCUGUCACUUAUACAUGGAUCUGCGGCGCAUUAGCUAGUUGGUGAGGUAACGGCUCACCAAGGCGACGAUGCGUAGCCGACCUGAGAGGGUGAUCGGCCACACUGGGACUGAGACACGGCCCAGACUCCUACGGGAGGCAGCAGUAGGGAGUCUUCCGCGAUGGACGAAAGUCUGACGGAGCAACGCCGCGUGAGCGAUGAAGGCCUUCGGGUCGUAAAGCUCUGUUGUUAGGGAAGAACAAGUGCUAGUUGAAUAAGCUGGCACCUUGACGGUACCUAACCAGAAAGCCACGGCUAACUACGUGCCAGCAGCCGCGGUAA
RNAcentral lists this ribosomal RNA (515 nucleotides) under uncultured bacterium. RNAcentral's name for it is "partial 16S ribosomal RNA". It matches the Rfam family "Bacterial small subunit ribosomal RNA", at positions 28 to 523 of the family's 1533-position model. The record is from RNAcentral.